AAAAUAUGUUGGAUCAGUUUUGAUUUUAGGUUUUGGAGCAGAAAAAAGAGUUGAUAAUCAAACUAGACUUCCAACAUAUAGCUCUAGAAUCUUUUUGGUAGGAAUAUAGCUUUAGAAUCAAUUGAAUAAGAAACCAGAGACAGAUUAUAAGUUGGGGAACUAACAAUCCUACCAUUUUCCUAAGAAGGAAUCCACACAUCUGAAUAGAUCCUAGUGAUGGAGGAAAUGAAAUUACAGAUACAGGGGAAGUGAAUGUGAAUGAGAAGAAGAAGAUCUUCGUUGUUGCCGGAGCUACCGGGAAUACUGGAAAAAUAGAUUGUUGAUCAGCUCCAACUCAAGGGUUUUGCAGUGAAGGCAGAGAGUGGUUCGUGAUAUAGAGAAGGCCAAUACUAGUCUCUCUAACAAUCUGUAUAUGCAAAUUGUGAAAGCCAGUGUAGCAGAAUAAGCUAGCAGCAAGCUGUGGUGAUAUUUGCUAUCAGUUUUCAACCUUUGUGAGAUCUAUUGGCUCCAUGGAAGGGUGAAUUAGUAUUAUGAUUAUUUUUUGGUAGGUAGUUAGUAAUGGUUAUGCAGUUAAUAUCUUCUUUAAUUUUCCUUGACUAUGCUGAGUUCUAUCGUUUAAUUCUUUAACAAACUCAGUAUUUCUUUUUAAUGUGUGUUUGUUCUUUGGAUAUGCAGUUGAUCAUGGAAAUGCAUUCAGGGACACCAAUCAUCAAUUCCUAUAUGAACUUCUGAUGUUGCCUAAGAUCUGUGAAUUAGCAUACUAUGGAUUUUUUUGUGCUUGUGUGCCUUUGAUUUUUAUAUUUGUUUCUGGUGUCAACCCAAUCUGAUUACAUAGUCAACUAAGACAAAAGCAUCUCGACUAACUAAAUUUACUGUUACUCUACUACAUGUGAAUGGAUACCCACUUCAGGGGCAAGCUCCCUAGAUCUUAAGCU
Long non-coding RNA from Macadamia integrifolia, 935 nucleotides. RefSeq lists it as uncharacterized. The transcript is spliced from 3 exons. Lineage: Eukaryota; Viridiplantae; Streptophyta; Magnoliopsida; Proteales; Proteaceae. The record is from RefSeq and is a predicted model, not a curated record.